UACGGGGGGGGCAAGCGUUGUUCGGAAUUACUGGGCGUAAAGGGCUCGUAGGUGGCCAACUAAGUCAGACGUGAAAUCCCUCGGCUUAACCGGGGAACUGCGUCUGAUACUGGAUGGCUUGAGAUUGGGAGAGGGAUGCGGAAUUCCAGGUGUAGCGGUGAAAUGCGUAGAUAUCAGGAGGAACACCGGUGGCGAAGGCGGUUCUCUGGGCAUUACCUGACGCUGAGGAGCGAAAGUGUGGGGAGCGAACGGG
RNAcentral lists this ribosomal RNA (253 nucleotides) under uncultured bacterium. Its description in RNAcentral is "partial 16S ribosomal RNA". It matches the Rfam family "Bacterial small subunit ribosomal RNA", at positions 524 to 776 of the family's 1533-position model. The record is from RNAcentral.